This is a long non-coding RNA of Pipistrellus kuhlii (Kuhl's pipistrelle), 422 nucleotides long. RefSeq lists it as uncharacterized. The record is from RefSeq and is a predicted model, not a curated record. Lineage: Eukaryota; Metazoa; Chordata; Mammalia; Chiroptera; Vespertilionidae. The transcript is spliced from 5 exons.
ACUGGACUUCAGACGCUUUUCCGAUCUGUGGAAUGUUCUAUAAUCUUUGUGCUCUUGCCAGUUUAUUGGGUUCCAUAAUUUCCUUACCCCUUCCCAGUCUAGCUGGAUUGCAGAGUUAAGUUUAUGAUUAUGAAAUAAAAACUAAACAGUUAAAAAAAAGAAAAGAAAUAUUAAACAUACUCUAUUAACCAUGGUUGUUUUGUUCUGAUGAAAGAAAGCACAUUCUAACCCAGCUGGGAGUUGUUCACCCCCAGGGCCUGGAAGUCAACCUUGGAAUUCAGCCUAUUAUCCUAUUAUCAUGGAAAGAUUAACCACCCUAUUGCUUAAACAAUGGCCUCCUGCCCUCAAGCCUGUAACCUGUAACAAUCAUACCCAUUUUUAUUCCUUUUGUCUACUUCAUGUCAUCUUUGUCUUACCCAAAG